Molecule: non-coding RNA, 3977 nt
Organism: Heterocephalus glaber (naked mole-rat)
Lineage: Eukaryota; Metazoa; Chordata; Mammalia; Rodentia; Bathyergidae
Source: RefSeq, a predicted model, not a curated record
GGAGUUACAGGAACAGUCUCUUGGCUCAGAUGGCUGAGGUGAUACACACUGCGUGGGAGAGGCCAGGAGCGAGGUCUCUGCGCUUUGUCGGGAAAUGGACACCUAGAACAGGACGACUGUCCACUGCUUGUUGUGGUCGUUUCUAUGACGUCACCAUCGGACAGCUAGCGCUGUCCUCCCUGGGUGGGUGUGCGUGCGAUGUGGGCUUCACUCCAGAGAAGCCACUGUGAAAGCAGAUGUGUGCACUAAGCCUACAAAGUAGCGUAAAUGUAAACCGUAAGGAUACCUGGUAGCCUAAACUGUCAAAUGCUGGAUACAGUUACCAGUGGGUUUGCAGAUUCAAAGCAGAAGCUGGGCUGGGGAUUUAGCUCAGUGGUUUCGCUGCCUGCUGCUCAAGCUCAAGGACCCGAGUUCAAUCCCCAGCAACCCCCCCCCCCAAAAGAACUACUUGGCUCAUCAAAGCAGAAGCCACUGUAGACUGGAGACUAUGCCUACGAGCUUGAUUUCCUUAAGGUGGAUCCUUUCCCCAGAGCAGUUUUCUGUCCCUUCUUCUCUCCCUCCGUUCUUUCCUUAGGUGCCCUAAGUUGCUUUUAGGAAGUUAGUGUCUGAAGCUAUAAUAAACAGAAGAAAUGGAGGAGGGGGUGUAGCAAGGAGAGUUAAGUGCUCACUGCAACAUCUAAUCAGAAAAAUCUCCUUUGAAAGGCGGUGUCCUCAGUGCUCUGCAGUAUUUGUUGUUGUUGGUACCGGGAAUUGAACUCAGGACCUUGCGCUUUCAAGGCAGGCGGCUGCUUCUCUGCAGUAUCGGUGACACGGAUAAUCCUUUCUCCCAAAGCAUUGGACAGAACUUUCAAUAAAGAAAAAAAUAGGCAUUCUUUAAAAUAAGGAACAGCACAAAUAGAGUGCGGAACACCAGGCGUGCUUCCUUCUGGGGCUCAGCAUUUGCUUGUCUCUGUCCCCAUGCCCACUUUCUGUACUCAGGUGUCACCUUCCUGGGAGCUUCCCCACACACCCAUCCCUCCUCCCGCAUUCCAUUUUUUGAGUAAUUCUGUCUUGUUCUCAAGUAGUUGAGUUCUGUGAAGACAGGCGUAUCCCACGAUUGCUUUGCUGCAGAACCUUAGCACCUGCAGCCGGCGCCUGGCGCCUAACAGAGGUGCAGCUUGCAGUUACUGACUGACCUUGUGGAAAACCUGCGGCCACCCAGAAACCCGGGGUGGGAAGUGGUGAUCGGUCGGCAUGGGCACUAAAUUCCACUCUGAGCUUCUUGGUGUUGAGGACAGAAACUUAAAGCAAACAAAAAUAGUAGGUUUGUUAAGUAUGCUAUUCAGCGUGACAUUAAGAGUGCGAAUAUACUUUCAACUUCCAAAAAAUUAGCUUUUCUUCAGUUGCAUAAGAGCAUAAGCCUAAGUUAGAGUAUUUCUGACCUGACUCUGAGUGCUGAGGUCUCUUCCACUCAGCGUCUGUGUUUCCCUGUGGAUUAAUUCUGUGCCUUGCUUUCCUCUCCAGUGAAAAGUAGCCGUGCAACAGAGAUCUGUAGUAACCCGGCAGCGCUAGGGCAGAGUAACAUGUACCUGCGUGUUUGCUUUGCUGCUUUACUGAACCGAAUCAAAAGGAUGUAGUGAGUGCUCUCUUCCCUGUCUUACAAGAUUUUUUUUUUUAAGUUUGGCAGGAGCAAAUGUGAGCCUUAAACUCUCAGAACUCCUGUGACCUUCUGAAGAAAGAUGAUGUGCUUAAAACACACAGUGAUUUUUUUCACUAUUGAGUUUGUGCCACAUACUUAGUACGUUAUUUAAUAUCAUUUAAGGAAAGAAAUCAUUGUCUCUAUUAAGCAUUUUACACCAGCAUUAAAAAUGCAUAUUAAAUGUGAGUUGGAAUAUGGCCUGGUUAAAUGAAAAUUUUUUGAAAGGAGAUGCUGAGUUCUUUGACCGAAGACAGGAGUGCAGAAUUUUAGACGGUUGGGCCUGGGUCCAUUGUGCUGGGAUCUGAAGGGCUGGCGAAGGGCAGUGGCUAGGGGUCAGCAAUAUUUCAGUACAGACCUAAGAGAUUACACAGCUCCAUCUGUUUUUCUUUUUCAAAGCAUAAUUCUUCCGCAGUUAACUCCGAGCAGGGCUGGGGGGGGCCCUUAGUGACUUCAGAGUGCUGAUUGCCUCAGGAGGGUGAGUCGGUAGAUUAGAACUGCCACCACAGUAGCUGUGAAGAGGCCACAGUGCCCAACACGGAGACACGGGAAAUACACUGCUUUCUGUUGCUUGGGUACCUCCUUCCUCCGCCUGUACCCACAGGAAGCGCAUUUCCGCCGAACUCAGUCUGGGGAGAGCUCACAGCCGCAGUCCCAGGCAUAGCUGCAGCUCUUGGAGGUGAUGACCUUCUCAGCUGGUUUGACCUUUCCUAGGGACAAAGAUUAUCUGUUGCCUUUUUGUGUCACAGAAUUAUGUGGUCAUUUCAGAAAUUCUCUACCAGUAAGUUUCCUUUGCAAUUUUGAUUUAGGUAGGGAGAUGUGUUAUAAAUCUGACUUAUUAAUGUUGCCUACUCUGGCUGAAGAAGGGAGAUUAAACAUGCUCGUGAGUUUGCUAAAGGAGGCAGCAGUUUCGGCUUUCACCGCUCUGCUUAAACACACCAGGGUCUGGCACACGAGAGUGAGGCGGAAUGUACACACCUGUCCAGAGCAGGGACCUGUUGGUGAAAGCAAGUAUCUUACUAUCAAACUCCAAGGCAUCUGGUUCUUCAUGGUAAAAGUGCUUUCCAAACACAUUAGCAUGAAUGAAACUGGAGUUUUAACUCACGAGGACAAUGAGAAUAAAGGACAAGAUGGUGGACCAGAAAUCCAGACUCAUUUUUAGCCCAAGACAGUUCCUCUUCAUGCAAAAAUACCAGGGCAAAAAAUAAAGAAUCAAAGUAGAAGAAAAUAAAAUAAAGAAUCAAAGAUUGGACAUGCCUGGCUAGAGCUAAAAAUACCGCAGUAGAAAUAAGUGCAUUUCUAAAGCUCAGAUGUUGGUUUCAAACUUUAAUUCUUCAGUAAAAGAAACAGGGCUCUGGGCAAAAACACCUGAUGCGGGCUGUAGGACAAGGAGACCUGAAGAGUGAUGCAGACCCAUCCAAAGAUGCUGACCUAAAGGAGCUGACUGCUCGCCAGAUGUGGGCGAUGUGAAAGACAGCAGUGUACUGUAACCUGAGUAAAAAGGGAAAUGCUGAGUCUGUGGUAGUAAUCUAAAAAGAUCCCAAAUGGUGGUGUGAAUACUCUUAUACGAAGGACUGCCAGGAAUAAAUACAGAAGAAACCAGAACCUGAAAAGUCACUGUUUUGCAGUCCCUCCUGCAGGGUCCCCCACAGCACCAGGGGAUGGUGACAACACUGAGGAAAGCGUUGUUGGGGACAAAAUGUGGCUGCAUGGCCAACGGCUGGCCAGUCACGCGUUCAUCACACAGGAGUCACUUGUGCCGGAGAGGGAGCUGGCAGACAGCCCUGUGCAAGGGGCCAGCUGGACAGCGGCCGUGACGGGGUAAACUGAGACCCUGGGCUUCUUAGCCUGGCCUGUGAGAAGAGGACAGCGCCAAGAAUCUUCAACCGGAAGCUCGCGACAGGGCAAGACGGAACAAAGCCAGACAGUGAGGCAUUCUGCAGAACAACUGGCCCGAAUUUUCCAAAUUUUUAAGGACAAAUUAUUGUAUUAAAAGCUGGCCUCAAAAAUAGCUGAAAGAGAAAUGACAGCUAAAUGGACUGCGUGAUCCUUGAUUGGAUGCUAAUUUGUUUUGCAAUCAGCUACAAAGAACAUUUCCGGGAAAUUGGGAAAAUAUGAAUGUGGAAUUUAUAUUAGGUAACAAGAUUGAACCUGUGCUUCAUUUUCUGGUGAGAUGAUUGCAUUGUUAUUAAAUAAAACAAUACUCCUAUCUUUUCAAAUAGUUAAACGGGAUGGGUGAGAGAAAUGAAAUCUUUCAAAAUAGAAAGCUGGAAUAAAUAAUUUGAUAGAUUAUGGCCAAGUA